Molecule: ribosomal RNA, 642 nt
Filed under: Leptospira borgpetersenii serovar Balcanica
Lineage: Bacteria; Pseudomonadati; Spirochaetota; Leptospiria; Leptospirales; Leptospiraceae
Description: bacterial SSU rRNA
Rfam family: Bacterial small subunit ribosomal RNA
Source: RNAcentral
ACCCUGAUCCAGCCAUGCCGCGUGUGUGAAGAAGGCCUUUUGGUUGUAAAGCACUUUAAGCAGUGAAGAAGACUCUAUGGUUAAUACCCAUAGACGAUGACAUUAGCUGCAGAAUAAGCACCGGCUAACUCUGUGCCAGCAGCCGCGGUAAUACAGAGGGUGCAAGCGUUAAUCGGAAUUACUGGGCGUAAAGCGAGCGUAGGUGGCUUAAUAAGUCAGAUGUGAAAUCCCCGGGCUUAACCUGGGAACUGCAUCUGAUACUGUUGGGCUAGAGUAGGUGAGAGGGAGGUAGAAUUUCAGGUGUAGCGGUGAAAUGCGUAGAGAUCUGAAGGAAUACCGAUGGCGAAGGCAGCCUCCUGGCAUCAUACUGACACUGAGGUUCGAAAGCGUGGGUAGCAAACAGGAUUAGAUACCCUGGUAGUCCACGCCGUAAACGAUGUCUACUAGUCGUUGGGGAACUUGAUUCCUUAGUGACGCAGCUAACGCAAUAAGUAGACCGCCUGGGGAGUACGGCCGCAAGGUUAAAACUCAAAUGAAUUGACGGGGGCCCGCACAAGCGGUGGAGCAUGUGGUUUAAUUCGAAGAUACGCGAAGAACCUUACCUGGGCUUGACAUAUCUAGAAUCCUGCAGAGAUGCGGGAG